Molecule: non-coding RNA, 209 nt
Organism: Camellia sinensis
Lineage: Eukaryota; Viridiplantae; Streptophyta; Magnoliopsida; Ericales; Theaceae
Source: RefSeq, a predicted model, not a curated record
AUUAGGAGCCUUGUCACAAUUCCACACACACACACACAUACCAGCAGCCAAGGAGAGGGUGAGAGAAGGAGAGUGUGAUUAGAGGGAAGUAGAGAAGAAGAAGAAAAGAAAAAGAAGAAAAGAAAAGGAAGAAAAUGGUGCCUUCUAGGGUCAAGGUGAUGAAGCAGUUUACAAUGGUGAAGGUUAUUUCGAAGGCAAACAAGAUAAAG